RNAcentral lists this ribosomal RNA (660 nucleotides) under Acinetobacter lwoffii. RNAcentral describes it as "bacterial SSU rRNA". It matches the Rfam family "Bacterial small subunit ribosomal RNA", at positions 52 to 706 of the family's 1533-position model. Lineage: Bacteria; Pseudomonadati; Pseudomonadota; Gammaproteobacteria; Moraxellales; Moraxellaceae. The record is from RNAcentral.
CACAUGCAAGUCGAGCGGGGAAAGGUAGCUUGCUACCUAACCUAGCGGCGGACGGGUGAGUAAUGCUUAGGAAUCUGCCUAUUAGUGGGGGACAACAUCUCGAAAGGGAUGCUAAUACCGCAUACGUCCUACGGGAGAAAGCAGGGGACCUUCGGGCCUUGCGCUAAUAGAUGAGCCUAAGUCGGAUUAGCUAGUUGGUGGGGUAAAGGCCUACCAAGGCGACGAUCUGUAGCGGGUCUGAGAGGAUGAUCCGCCACACUGGGACUGAGACACGGCCCAGACUCCUACGGGAGGCAGCAGUGGGGAAUAUUGGACAAUGGGGGGAACCCUGAUCCAGCCAUGCCGCGUGUGUGAAGAAGGCCUUUUGGUUGUAAAGCACUUUAAGCGAGGAGGAGGCUACCGAGAUUAAUACUCUUGGAUAGUGGACGUUACUCGCAGAAUAAGCACCGGCUAACUCUGUGCCAGCAGCCGCGGUAAUACAGAGGGUGCAAGCGUUAAUCGGAUUUACUGGGCGUAAAGCGCGCGUAGGUGGCCAAUUAAGUCCAAUGUGAAAUCCCCGAGCUUAACUUGGGAAUUGCAUUCGAUACUGGUUGGCUAGAGUAUGGGAGAGGAUGGUAGAAUUCCAGGUGUAGCGGUGAAAUGCGUAGAGAUCUGGAGGAA